This is a small nuclear RNA of Ailuropoda melanoleuca (giant panda), 103 nucleotides long. The record is from Ensembl. NCBI's taxonomy places the organism in Eukaryota, Metazoa, Chordata, Mammalia, Carnivora, Ursidae.
UUGCUUUGGCAGCACAUAUUCUAAAAUUGGAAAAAUACAGAGAAGAUUAGCAUGGCCCCUGUGCAAGGAUGACACACAAAUUCAUGAAGCAUUCCGUAUUUUU